AGACGUAGGUUGAGUCUAGUAGGUCCGCUCUCCUGACUGGUCGAUGAGUGGAGGGACGGUCCAUUCUCCAGGUGGUGUCAACUUCCCAUUGGCCCUUGGCAGUGUCCUUUGUCCUCGGAGUCCAACACACCUAAGUGUGUGUGUGUGUGUGUGUGUAUUUCUGGUAAUUCGUGUCUGGGUGCUUGCGAUAUUCAUGGAAUGUUGUUCUUUACACCAGUGGUCAGUUCGUGUGGCUAGGGCGCCUUCAUGUCUUGACAUUUUUGUGUGAGUUCUUAAGUCUGCCAUCUGUCCUCUGGGUGUGGUCGUGAUUGGUAUCACUUGGUUGCUCAAUAUGUCUCUGGAAUUUUGUUGUGUGCUGUUGUGAAACAUGUUGUGCAAAUGCCCUCCUUAUAUAUCAUUAGGUAAAACGUUAGAUUAUCUUUAUUACAGUAUCCAUGGCAUUUUCCAAUUAUGUUCCUAUUUUACAAGUAAAAAAAAUUGAGAACCUUUCAUAAUGUUGCCAAACAAAGACUCAACAAACUUACCUGAGACUCCCUGUCUCUGCCAGUCUGUCCCUGUAUAUCUGUCCCCAACUCUGCUCUCUGUGUGCCAUCUGUUGCCUGCUCUGCCUAAUGACAUCAUUGUGAAACAUUUCCAUUAGAAUUUCAUUUCUUUCUUAUGAACAUUUUAUCAACUAGUCUUUGAGAUAUUAGGCUACUAGAGUUCUUACUUUGGUGUAUUGAAAAAUACUCUGAUGUCCGUCUUUUAUUUUUCUGCCAUUUUUCUACCUGGCUGGCUGGCUGGCUGGCUACACACACACACAGUCUGUAGGUUAUUUACAGUAGGAGAUGGGCUUCUAUCAUCUUCUAUCAUUCUAUUUGGGCUUCGAUCUAAAAGGUAGCUAGCAAAUGUGAAACGGAUUAAAAUGACAAGAGUUGACAGCUGUAUGCACCAUUUACACAACAUAUGCUGCAACCUUUUGUAAUUGUAAUAGUUUGUUUCAUAUUGGCUGGCUUCCAACAAUAGCUGAAUUUGCAAAGCUAGCGAGCACCAAUUCAGUUUCAGUGGUGUUUGCUAUAAUCUUUGCUACCCGGGUUAAAUAAAGGUGAAAUAAAAUAAAUAAAUAAAAGUUCCCUUGCGACAAUUUAGCUUUUGCAACGAGACCAUUAAAUAUAUUUAAGACAUUGGUAGAAGAGAGUGUAGUUCAGUUUGGACUUCAGUUUAUCGCUAACCUUAUCACAGGGACUUUGACGCACUAACUUACAUCAUCUGCAUGCUGAUCUUGGAAUAAAUUGACGAUAGCAAAGAUUCCAUCUUUGACGACGCCACAUAAAUGGAAUAGGUACUACCUAGCUUAAUAGUUAAUAUUUGCGCGCUAGCUCUGCAUAUUCAGCUAGUGUGUGUGCGCGAUUGACUGGAUUAACCUUAAGUCAGUUACGUUCAUUGAGUGCCUUUCAGACAGUAGACACGACCCCUCUGUUACCUUGCCAACUAAGGAACUGGCAGUGGAUCAAACCAUUGUGAGGCAAAGGGUGGGGGGGUCGCAAUCUUUUGAAACUUAAAAACACGCUAUUAAGUGUCUAUAAUCAGCACAAUUGCUUUCAUUGCGUAUUAUUAAUAUUAUUUAAAUUACAUAGUUAUGUUUCAGUGAUAUAUUGGGGGGGACAAAUCAUAUUUUUCCCAGGAUGGGGGGUCGUGUCCCCCCCGGGAUUUCCGCCCCUGCCUUAACAUUUAAAUUCCUCUAUCAGUAGGCUAGUUGAGAACAAGUUCUCAUUUACAACUGCGACCUGGCUAAGAUAAAGCAAAGCAGUGCGACACAAACAACACAGAGUUACACAUGGAAUAAACAAGCGUACAGUCAAUAACACAAUAGAAAAAAAGAAAGUCUAUAUACAGUGGGUGCAAAUGGCGUGAGGAGGUAAGGCAAUAAAUAGGCCAUAGUAGCGAAGUAAUUACAAUAUGAUGAUGUGGCUCAGUUGUUCACCGACAUUCACAAAUGACAUUAUGCUGUAGAGACCUUUGAUAAUUCACUGUUAAGGGUUCAUAAACAUUUUUCUAUGACUUAAUUUAAUUUUCAUGACUUAUAGCUUACAUGGAAAAAGUAACCAUUAUUGACACUGGAAGGCUGCUGUGCCUGAUCCCAUGUACGGUGCAUUCGGAAAGUAUUCAGACCCCUUGACUUUUUCCACAUUUUGUUAUGUUACAGCCUCAUUCUAAAAAUAAUUAAAUUGAGGGAAAAAAAAUCUACACACAAUACCCCAUAAUGACAAAGCAAAAACAAGUUCCAUUUUUUUUUGCAAAUGUAGUAAAAUUACAAAACUUAAAUCACAUUUACAUAAGUAUUCCAACCCUUUACUCAGUACUUUGUUGAAGCACCUUUGGCAGCGAUUACAGCCUCGAGUCUUCUUGGGUAUGACGCUACAAGCUUGGCACACCUGUAUUUGGGGAGUUUCUCCCAUUCUUCUCUGCAGAUCCUCUCAAGCUCUGUCAGGCUGGAUGGGGAGCGUUGCUGCACAGCUAUUUUCAGUUCUCUCCAGAGAUGUUCAAAUGGGUUCAAGUCCAGACUCUGGCUGGGCAACUCAGGACAUUCAGAAACUUGUCAUGAAUCCUCUCCUUCGUUGUCUUGCCUGUGUGCUUAGGGUUGAUGUCCUGUUGGAAGGUGAACCUUGUGGUGGAAAAUUCUAAUCAAGUGGGAGAGAGUUUGUUUGAAGAAAUGGCAAUCAUUCUUUGAACAACGUAGCAACGCUCCACUUCUGCUCAACUUCCUAUCCGAUCUUGUCCUGUCAACCUGAUUGUAGCCAUACUAGCCUCGAAGUCGCUCGUUUUAUCAUUACCUCAGUAUAUUAAUACAAUCAUAUUUCUAUAGCGUUUUUUUUUAAUAAUUCUUGUUGAAAAUUCUGUAUAUCCGUUCAGUUGGUGAUUUUUGUAAUUCGAUUGUGUUCUGUCUUUUUUUGUCUCUUUAGCCAGUAAACGUUAGCUACCAGUACCUAGCUAACGUUAGUGCUAAUGACGUUAACGUUAUUAGUUGGUGCGGCAUCUUUAUUGAAAGUUAGGAAAUUAAGAAGUUUUCAUUGAACCUUCUAGUGGUUGUUGACAUCUGAAGAAGGGAGCAGUACCUUUGCUAUUCCAGUGGAAUAUUACCAUGUCCAAGAGAUCCUUAUGUCACUGAUGGGAAGCAUCAAAUGCAUCUGGGCUGUAGCUUGCCUUCUCACAAAACAACCGGUGUGGGCCUCUUGUGAAGGCAUGGGCCAAGAAGCAAUGAGCUACUACUGCAAUGCAUCUUUCCUUUUUUUACUGUGACCAUCCACAUUGUCUAACACCCCGUAGUCCAUUUAUUGAUAAUAAACACCUCUGCUUAUACUCCAAACAAAAUGCUACAAAGAGUUUUUAAUUACAGUGACGAGAACAGAAAAAUGUAACUGAAUUAUUUUAAAUGAUUCAUUAAUUAAUUGCAGACAGAUUUGUUGGUUUGUUUCUCUUUCAUUAAUUGAAAGAUAAAGGAGCAUGCCCCUUUAUAUUUAGUCUUUCCUGCCUAAGAACUUUUGCAUGUACACAUAAGUAGUACCAGUCACCCUUCUCUCUAAUUAGUGAGAACACCACUGGGACUCUAUGCAUUCUCUCACCUGAAGAGACUAUGUGAAGCUGGUGUUCUUCACUGAGCAUAAAUGUGCAGCCUUGAAAGUUGCUCUCCGGGCAGUGAAGGGAAUGGUGGUGUCUCCUUAUGGUGAACUAUGUGUCACGUUGUGAUUGGAGGCUGCUGGUAAGACAGAAGGCUCCCCACCUGUACCUUUCCAAAGUGGGAGUCGACUAAAAGCUUUUCAGCAGACAUCCCCAUGCUGCAGAUCAAUGGCUUGGAUAGAGGGUCAAAGCUUUUGUAUGCCUCUUCUAUCUGGAGAACUGAGAGGUCAGGGAGCGUUCCAAGAAGGGCACUGUAGAGUGUACUUCUGCAAAGCAGCCGCUGUGGUUUCCCAAUCUAAACAAUGUACUUGAAACCACCUGAAAUUAAAAACAUUCAUAUAGUCAAAGUGUAAUAGCAGCUACUACCUACUAUACUGGCUAUUAGGGAAUACUCACCUAAUCCCUCCUUCUGCCAUGCGAUUUUUGGUGGGCUCGGUGAUGGUCAUUUUGUCUAUGGGCCCAGGUUGCAGACCCUGUAAAAAGACAGUACAAGGGCACUAUUCUAAAUCUAAUCAUGAGACGAUUUAAGUUUUCAUUAAAUCAUUUAUUAGCAUUAUGAUGUGAUUAUAACCAUAUGAUGUUGAAGGGAACGGCACCUCCAUACCUUCAGGCUCUGAUCAGGCCCUACACCCAAACAAGGGCACUGCGUUCAUCCACCACUGGCCUGCUGGCCCCCCUACCUCUGAGGAAGCACAGUUCCCGCUCAGCCCAGUCAAAACUGUUCGCUGCUCUGGCACCCCAAUGGUGGAACAAGCUCCCUCACGACGCCAGGACAGCGGAGUCAAUCACCACCUUCCGGAGACACCUGAAACCCCACCUCUUUAAGGAAUACCUAGGAUAGGAUAAAGUAAUCCUUCUAACCCCCCCUUAAAAGAUUUAGAUGCACUAUUGUAAAGUGGUUGUUCCACUGGAUAUCAUAAGGUGAAUGCACCAUUUUGUAAGUCGCUCUGGAUAAGAGCGUCUGCUAAAUGACUUAAAUGUAAAUGUAAAUGUUGAUAUGUGGUACAGCUAUUAAAACAUACCAUAGUCCUUGGCUUAUACCACUGCUGCUCGGCCUCUGUGCAGCUGUGCACAGGUGGGACGACUAGUGUUCCCAUUUGGGAAUAGUGUGCAGACUGGAAUAGUAAUGCAACUGUGUGGUUGCAUAAUGCAGUGCCAGCAACACAUGAACAGUGAUGUUGUGUCAUUGUUACUGGCUCAGAGGGCUUCAGUACAACCUUCAUAGUUGAAAAGGUAACUGAAUACAAAGUUUGAAUCCUUUUUCCAACUUGGAGGUCGGUGCUUUGCUACUUGUCUUGGCCAGACGAUGUACAUCCGUCACUGUUAUCUUUGGCAGCUCUUGCAAGCGCCUUGACACAAUAAUCGAAUUACAAAAAUCACUAACUGAACGGAUAAGCAGAAUUUUCAACAAGAAUGAUUAAAAAACACUAUAGAAAUAUGAUUAUAUUAAUAUACUGAGAUAAAGAUAAAACGAGGCUAGUAUGGCUACAAACAGGCUGACAGGACGCGAUCGGGAGAGGAAGCUAUAUAUCGGGUGGUAGGAAGUUGAGCGGAAGUGGGCGUUGCUACAUUGUGCAAAAGGUCUGAAUACUAAACGGUGUGGAUCAUUUAGAUAAAGAGGAGUGACUAUGUAUGUUAUGCCAGACUGAAGCUGUAUAUACAGAGGUCUCUGAGUCUGGGACUGGCAGUUGCUCCAUGGACCAUCUCGGCUUGUUACUUUGUAAUUAAGUCUGUAAUGAACUCACAAGCUCCGGUAUCUGAGAUAUUAUUGAACCAAUAUUUAUUCGACACAACGCGUCCAUGCACUAUGAUGUAUACAGAAAUGGUUUAAUUCUGAAAUACUACAAGGCAGUAGGCGACACUGAUGAGACAAGGAGAAUGCAGACCUAUACCUGGACCCAAAGUGGACUGGAUCGAUCCGUCGCUGGACAAUCAUCAAGUCCCCAAGUUACCAGUGGUCAGAUGAGUGAGAUUCCUUGCAGCUAUUCUCGUCAAUAUGGGCCAGUCAGACCAGCUGUCCUGUAUAUAGAAGGUGGUCGAUGCCUACCACACAGCGGACAAGUAACCAGUGGAGGUUACUGGAGUGGACCGAACCUGAAUCAACAGGCUUCAAUGGUGUACAUAAACUCAUCUCAGCAUUCACCCACCAAAGAGCAAGUUCUAACGGGUACUAGUCCCCUUUUGACAUCACUCUGGACUAACAAUGCAGCGGCUGCUCAAUCAACUGGUGUUACAUCACAAAGUGGAAACCGUCACACCUUGCCCGGAAGGGUUAACAGUGCAGCUCAGCCCACUUUUCAGCAGGGACAGAGGUUUUUGGGUGUUAAAAAAAACAAUCCACAGAGGCUCGUAAAGGAUGGUCAGGGUCCAACCAUUCACUGCCCCCCUCAUAUUAAUGCACCACUGAAUACAAAUGUUAUGUAUCAUCUAAGCCCAGUGAGUGGCAGUCAGCAGCUUGUACUUGGCAGACAAGAGGGGGCCUCCAGUGGUACCUCUGCUUCUCUUGCAAUGGGUAGGAGCCCCAACCAUGUAAAUCAUAAAUUGACUGUAGUGAGUGGGCAGGAUUCAAGAAGGAUAGCAGUUCAAGCUCCUCAUCAGGGAAACCCACAAACACCAAACUCUUUGCAAAGUGGACAGGAGACAACAUAUAACCAACUGUUGUAUUUACUUCAAAAUCAGAACAAUGACAGCAGGGCUGAGAUGAACAGGGUGCACCAACAUGGAGCACCUGUCCACACUGGCUCAUCAAACCACAGUCAAAUGUAUCCCUCUCAACUUCUCACUGGCAGCAACAACCAGGUCAAUGUAUCAAAUGCUACAGUGGGGCAGUCAAUGCCAAUGCAUAACAUUAGCCAGAAUCCUCAGUACAAUGUUAUGUAUAACCCUCCUUUUAAUAAUUCUCCAAGACAUGUCCCCAUCUGCCCUAAAAGCUUUCCCAUCCCACCACAACAGAACAGACUCCCAUCUUAUUGUGCAAAUAAUAACAGUCAGGCAGGGCCCAUUGGAAAUAAUGCACACUAUGCCUCUCAUCCUAGGCUCCAUAUCCAAGGCACAUGCCCUACCCUACAUUACAAGCCAGACUGCACCAAUGUUCUGGUAGGCAACGCUGGACCAUCUUCAUCUGUGCCAAACUAUAGUAUACAGCCCUCAGUCCAGCACAACCGUGAGACCGCGCCUCCACCAUACCCAGUCCAGCACAAGCGUAAGUCCGCGCCUCCACCAUACCCAGGCCAGCACUCCCAUGGACCCGUGCUGAACAAGACGGAACAUGUGGUUGGGGCAGGAGCGCAUUUUCUGCAACACGUGCCUAACCAAGGUGCAGCCCCUACCCUACAUUACAAGCCAAAAAACACCUAUGUUCAGUUAUCCAACACUGGACCAUCUUCAUCUGUGCCAAACCAUGGUAUGCUGUCUUCAGGCCAGCAAAACUGUGAGUCUGUGACUCCGUCACACCCCAUAAGACAGGGCUAUUACAUAACAGUAACAGAGGACAAAAGUGGAAAUGGAUUUAGAACAGAAAAUUUUAUUUUCAUAGGAGAUAAACCUAAUGAAAGUGCUCUGGUCCUGCAAGGAUCAUCUGCAAGUAAUGCCCCCUCUGUUCUUACGACACAGAAGGCCGUUGCAGUUGUACAACCACUAUCGCAGUGUAUGCAGACAAACACACCUCUAAAUGUGGCUGAUAAAAUCUCCUUGACUACCCAAGGUAUGUCUUUCUUAACAGGUGUCAAAAAUGUGAGCAACCCUGGGGAAGAAUCUUGUGACCAAAGUCCAUCACAAGCCCAAACAACCCUUAUUCUAUCUGCUUCUUUGACAAAUGAAUCUGAACAAGAGGUCCCCAAGAUCAGACUAGAAUCAGGGGCUGAUAAAACAUUGACCAAGGGUUCAGAAACUUCUGAUGUUGAAAUGGCCAAGAUAUAUUCAUGUUUUAAGCCUCAACGGUCAUUAUCAAACGGGUUAUGUGCAGAGAAAUUUGAUUCUCAACCAUUACCUAAUGUGGAAUGUCAAGCCACUCAGAGAAAAGAGUUAGCUGACACAGAAAUGACCACUCAUGUGCAUGUUAACCAAUUGAGUGAGGAAACGAAUGAAAAAGUCGAUUCCGAUGAGGACAUUUUUGAAUUGUCCUCCAUUCCUGUAAUCAAAUGGACCCUUGGUAAAUUGAAGGAGUUGGUAGAUACUGUGCAAAGUCAAAAAUGCACUGCCACACCAGUUGAAAGCAAAAUACUAAGCCUCUAUUGGGACGGAGAUGGGCCAAAGCUUAUGGAUGCUGCAAGAUCUGGUAUGUUACAAAAUAUAAUGGAAGAGGUUAGAUCUGUGUGUGGCGACGAUGACGAUAUGUCAUCACAGUCUGUCAUAUUUUCACAAGCCAGGCGCAAAAACUGGGGUCAAGUUGAAGAGAAAUGUGCCAUUCUUAAACAUGAUUCUGUUCACCCCGAGUUCCCAGCGCAAGAGUCAUCGUGGUUGAACACAAAUAAGCAGCUUGAUGACAUAGACAAGGAGUUUGGAUUCCCAUGGUCACUAAGAUAUGACCAAAAGACUCUUCAUAGAGGAGAUGAACAAACAAAACUGAUUUGUACCGAAAAUGAAAAAUCUGCGGACUCUGCCAAUGACAUGCAGACUGAGGUGGCUCAGACGAAGAGACCAACACCCUCUGAUUCUGAUGCUAAAGAAAUUCAAGGGUCAGGUUUGGUACACGGUUCCACCCAGACCCUCUCACUGGUUAAGAGAGAGGCAGGUAUCAUUUUUAGUGACCCAUUUUCCUCCCUGGAGAUCAACGUGCUGACACCAGAAGAAGCUUUGAUGUUUUUCAGUGGGCAGCUACCACAAGAUAAAGUGAAUGAAGAAGACCUGUUGGAAUUGCCAAUGGAAAUGGACGCGGAGCUGAUUGAGUUGAAAGAUUACUCAGUGGAGGAUAAGUCAUCUGAGAGGGUAGAUGUGAAGUUGACUGAUUUAAAACUCGAAAACAAAGGGGAUGCCCAAUCAGAAGAUUACUGUUGCCUCUCUCGUUGGAUGGCAGUGUUCAGUGGGUCCACCAAUUCUUCGUCCUGCAAAUGCCAAUACGAGACUAAAUUGGGUUCAGCAAAGGCCACUGUGAAUGCGACGCCGUUGGUUGAGGUAACAUUGUCUGUUGAACCCAACACAACAAAAGCAGAACAAAGGGAAUGCCUGCAAUUGUCUAAAUCAAAUGGCACAGCAGAAGAAAAGAGGGAAGAGAAUCCUGUAAAAAAUUUGAAUCCUCAAUCUUGGAAAUCUACAGGCAUUCAAGAAUGCCAAACAAUUGUUUUGUCUGAUAGCAAAUCUGAGACUGCUCGCAUAUACACAAAUUGGGUGAAGAGCUUGCCUUUGUCAAAAGCCCCAGCACUGCAACUCCCCAUCAACCACACAAACAUUGUUGAAAUUGAAGAGGUCUUCUCCCGUUAUGAAGACUUUAUUAAAGUAGACACCCCAAUAUCGGAGAUAGUUUGGGACGAUGUACAGCCAAAGCAGAAACUACCAGGUCUGUUCCAGAAACGUAUAGAAUGUGUACAAGAACUUGGUGUCAUUUUGGAAGAAGGAAACCCUAGAGGUAGUGAAGUCGUUCCUACAGUUCCCAUUCCUACUUCUAAUCUGCAACCCCAACCAACAGACAAAAUCGGUUUCCUUACAUCACUUUCCUUGGCACAAAGAUGUCACAAACAUCUCUCUCCUAAAACAAAUUGUAGCUACAAGGUUAAACAAAAAGGGGUUGGACUCAAGAGAAGAUGUGUUGAAAGUCCGCAUUCAAAUUUGCCUGUCCCAAGAAAGCAAAGGAAAAUGAGGGAUGGAUUAGGUCCCUCCUUUCAACUCGUUCCUGAGGUCAACUUGACUGAUGAUGAUGUUUUUGAGCCCCCCAAUACAACUACUUCUAAAUCUUUGGAAGAAGAGAAACAUUCAAAAGGUAGCAAUCUCCAGAAGCCAACAGAACAUGGAAUUGGGAACAACAUUUGGAGGGUUGGCACAGUAAGUCUAGCCUUGUUUGGUUCCGCGCUCCAGAGGAAAAAUGGGGCUUUAACAACUGACCAACGCAAGGACCAUAAUACUUCUCGAGCAAGACCUUUUGCAGACAAUGCUCCAGCACCUCCUAUAACCCUCAGUGUGAAUGUCAACUCCUGGACCAGUCCUCCAGCGGAAAGCCCAAUCAAACAAUGGAUCUUAAACGAGUGGAAUAAUAGUUUUAUCCCGACAAAGACAAAGUCCAGGGGCAAAGUGUCAAAACUACAAAACAGAAGAGGCUUUGCUCCAAAGAUUAUUUGUGCUGAAAUGGCCAAAAAGACUGUUGCCCUCACCAACACAGAUAGAGGUGCAUUAUCCUCUGAAAGGCGAGCCAAACCAGAAAGAACUGUAAAGGCCAAGCAGACUUUGCGGCGUGUUGAAAGAGAAAGAAUCUUAAACGGCCUGAAACUCGGACCAAAGAAAUCUAGGAUUGAGGCAGUGCCAUCCAGUAUCCCUGAUCUAGUGGAACAAAGUAAAUAUGAGAUCGGAAACCCAGCUCCUUUGCCUCAUGAGCAGAACAGUCUUAUGUUUAGUGUGCUGCCGGAGUCGUUCAACUUCAAAGACGUCAUGGACCCUCCGACACAGACAGGUUCAAUGAAUGACAUGGCUGGUCCGGUUGCUGCGAAGGCUGAGAGUCCUCAGACGAUAGUCCAAAAAUCCCAAGAUUGGUUGUGACCGCUGCCCAGGAUGGUUCCACCAGUCCUGUAUGAAAACCAUCCCAUCAUUGGAGGAUUAUGUCUGCGCUGCCUGUCAGGACUAGGUUAGGCUUGAGUUCCAGGCGACGGUAUCACCUGGAAAACUUUCCAUAAAAAGUGGACUAAAUGUUCAGUCAAGCUGUUGUCGCUUUCCAAUAUUUGUUUUUGUUAUUGUCUUUUUAUAUUUGAUUUAUUGUAAUUUUAUAUCUUAUUAUGCAAAGAUCAAAAUUUGUAUUUCUUAUUUAAUGUUUGUUAACGAACUUAACUUUCUGUGAUGUUUUUGUGUUAUUGGGUGAUAAUAUUUGUGUAUUAUCUUUAUUUUAAACAUUACAAAAUGUUUCUAAAAUAAAUGUUAAUGUUUCUUUAUACUCUAAUUUUUCUUUCUGUGGCACACACUACUGGUCAGCUACCAAAAUGAUGAGCUACGAAAAUGAUUCUUUAGUGUGCCAGGCCUUGCAGUCCCAAGACAGAAGGGGAGGGGAGAAUUUCAGCAGGCAAGAAAAUGGCCUUGCCGAAAUCCCCCCCCUUCUAAUUUCCUUAAUUUUGUGGCUAGAGUCAAAUACUUUCUGUGACACAUUAGAGUGAAAUAUUUUCUAUAGAACAAACUUCACAUCAGGAUAGGCAACCAAAAUUAAUAAUGUAUGUGUGUUAUAUUAAACAUAGGAGGGAGUAAAAUGUAGACAAGCAAUAAACAUUUCAGAACUACUAGUCGAAUAGGAGAGAUGACGAAUUUUGGCAAAGAGAUUUAUUUAGACUAAUACACUUGAAACAAAUAGCCAAACCGAAACCUGCAGACAUUACUAGUGCCUCCCCCGCGAUCAAACUGACAUAAAAAAUCUAAUGAAACGCAGCCUAACGUGAUCAGAAAUCACCUCAGACUGUCACGCUCUGGCCAUAGAGAGGGUUUUAUUCUCCAUUUUGGUUAGGCCAGGGUGUGACUAGGGUGGGCAUUCUAUGUCCUUUUUUCUAUGCUUUGUAUUUCUUUGUUUUGGCCUGGUAUGGGUCUCAAUCAGGGACAGCUGUACAUAGUUGUCGCUGAUUGGGAGCCAUACUUAUGCAGCCUGUUUUCCUUUGAGGUUUUGUGGGUAGUUGUUUUCUGUCUUGUGUAUUCACCUGGCAGAACUGUUGGCUUUCAUUUUCUUGUUUUAUUUCAAGUGUCAUUAAAGUUAAUAUGAGCACUUACCACGCUGUAUCUUGGUCCCCUUUGUCAGACGAUCGUUACACAGAGGGUACUUAUUUGUCACGCCCUGAUCUGUUUCACCUGUCUUUGUGAUUGUCUCCACCCACCUCCAGGUGUAACCCGUUUUCCCUAUUAGUCCCUGGGUAUUUAUUCCAGUGUUCCCUGUUUGUCUGUUGCCAGUUCAUCUUGUCAAGUCAACCAGUGUUCUUUUCCAUGCUCCUGCUAUUUCUUAUCUCUCUUUUGCAGUCCUCGUUUUGACACUUGCCUGCCUUGACUCUGAACCCGCCUGCCUGACCAUACUGCCUGCCCAUACUGCCUGCCUUGAUCUCGAGCCUGCCUGCCACUCUGUACCUCCUGGUCUCUGACCUUGUUAUGACUUUUUGCCUGUCCCUUGGAUUAUAAUAAAUAUCAGAC
This 11955-nucleotide long non-coding RNA is filed under the name Salmo salar (Atlantic salmon). Its description in RNAcentral is "lncRNA (ENSSSAG00000095508.1)". The stretch from base 4582 to 4635 matches the Rfam family "UnaL2 LINE 3' element". The record is from RNAcentral. Lineage: Eukaryota; Metazoa; Chordata; Actinopteri; Salmoniformes; Salmonidae.